AUCAUCAACAUCAACAUCAACAUCAUCAUCAUCAUCAAGUAGUUGAAGAGGUUUCAGUGCAAAGGGUGAAGAAGAAGGAGGUUAAUGCAAAGAUAUCAGCAUGGUAGAACAACAAGAUUGCAAAGAUUAACAACAGAUUCAAGAGAGAAGAUGCUGUCAUCAAAGGCUGGGAGAGUGAGCAGGUUCAGAAGGCUACUUCUUGGAUGAAGGAAGUUGAGGUUUUCAGCUUUUAUCAAUAUCCAAGAAUCAAAAUAAGUUCAUGACUCAUGACAAAUGCUCUUGCAACAUCUGUCAGCGAAAUAUUACAGACUUUCGAAUAUACUUACCAACCGGAAAAGAAUUUUGGACACAUAAGGAAAUGCCCUAUUCACUCCCUGCAAGAAAAUCAAGCAGAAAUUUGAAAGACUUUGAGCAAGUAAAAA
Non-coding RNA from Arachis ipaensis, 422 nucleotides. Lineage: Eukaryota; Viridiplantae; Streptophyta; Magnoliopsida; Fabales; Fabaceae. The record is from RefSeq and is a predicted model, not a curated record.